GUACGGGGGGCAGCAGUGGGGAAUGUUGCACAAUGGGCGAAAGCCUGAUGCAGCAACGCCGCGUGAGCGAUGAAGGCCUUCGGGUCGUAAAGCUCUGUCCUCAAGGAAGAUAAUGACGGUACUUGAGGAGGAAGCCCCGGCUAACUACGUGCCAGCAGCCGCGGUAAUACGUAGGGGGCUAGCGUUAUCCGGAAUUACUGGGCGUAAAGGGUGCGUAGGUGGUUUCUUAAGUCAGAGGUGAAAGGCUACGGCUCAACCGUAGUAAGCCUUUGAAACUGGGGAACUUGAGUGCAGGAGAGGAGAGUGGAAUUCCUAGUGUAGCGGUGAAAUGCGUAGAUAUUAGGAGGAACACCAGUUGCGAAGGCGGCUCUCUGGACUGUAACGGACACUGAGGCACGAAAGCGUGGGGAGCAAACAGGAUUAGAUACCCCUGUAGUCCG
Molecule: ribosomal RNA, 440 nt
Filed under: uncultured bacterium
Lineage: Bacteria
Description: bacterial SSU rRNA
Rfam family: Bacterial small subunit ribosomal RNA
Source: RNAcentral